Long non-coding RNA from Eublepharis macularius, 256 nucleotides. RefSeq lists it as uncharacterized. The record is from RefSeq and is a predicted model, not a curated record. The transcript has 4 exons. Lineage: Eukaryota; Metazoa; Chordata; Lepidosauria; Squamata; Eublepharidae.
CAUUUCAAAUGAAGUGAUUAGAUGCAGAAGGGCCACACCCUGCCCUUCUCAAUAAAAAGCAGCACUGCCUGAGCUCUCAGCCCUACACACUGGGACGAGAGAGUGUGACUGGAUUUAAUCAUGAGAAGAGAUCCAUUUGGAAUCGUGUUCCAGUCCCCCAAAUGCCUCAGCUUCUUGCUUGUGCUUGGCUGGGCAACAUCCACCAUCGCUGAGUCUGAGAAGACAUUUCUGUGCAUCAGCGGCUCGGAAAACGGUA